UACGUAGGGCGCAAGCGUUGUCCGGAAUUAUUGGGCGUAAAGAGCUCGUAGGCGGUCUGUCGCGUCUGCCGUGAAAACCCGAGGCUUAACCUCGGGCUGGCGGUGGAUACGGGCAGGACUAGAGGUAGGGUAGGGGAGAAUGGAAAUUCCCGGUGUAGCGGUGAAAUGCGCCAGAUAGUCGGGAGGAACGACCGGUGGCGAAGGCGGUUCUCUGGGCCUUACCUGACGCUGAGGAGCGAAAGCGUGGGGAGCGAACAGG
RNAcentral lists this ribosomal RNA (259 nucleotides) under uncultured bacterium. RNAcentral describes it as "partial 16S ribosomal RNA". It matches the Rfam family "Bacterial small subunit ribosomal RNA", at positions 524 to 776 of the family's 1533-position model. The record is from RNAcentral.